This 1177-nucleotide long non-coding RNA is filed under the name Amborella trichopoda. RNAcentral describes it as "long non-coding RNA (ATRI_LNC001911)". The record is from RNAcentral. Lineage: Eukaryota; Viridiplantae; Streptophyta; Magnoliopsida; Amborellales; Amborellaceae.
UUUGUUUUUGGAUAUUACUCAUUUUGACCAUAUUUAAGGUUCAAAUUUAACUUUUUUAUUUUUUUUGAUUGAUUAUUGAGAUGAAGGGAGUGUGUGUACAAAAUUUGAGGUCAUACAAAUACCACAAACAUAAUUUUAUAGAAUUAUACUAUGAUACAACCAUUGUAUUGGAUCAUUACUUUUAUAUAUAUAUUACAAUUUUUAGUUGAAAUAUUUUAAGUUCCGGACAAGAAUACGUUGUUGGCGUGCACGUGGCAGUAGAAGAGCCCCAUAAACUAACCUCAAAUAGGCCGAAAUUGGAGAAAUAAUAAAGAAGUUAUGGGUCCAUCGAAUGACACGUGGUAGACAUGCGCCCCCCGUGAUCCCGUUGGGCGAGCCGGGAUCGACAGCUCUACGCUCGCCACUUGUCGCCAGAACAGACGGUCAAAUAGGGACCACACGUGGACCCGCCCGGCCCUACGUGGAGACCAAUUCCCGGGGAAGGAUCCGCACGAUUCAAUGACAUCAGCGUACGGAGUGACGUGGCAUACCCUGCAAGUGUGGGCCCCAAAAGUGGCUCCGGCGACGUCAUCACGGUGGGCUUUUAAUGGCAUUAAAAAAUUGGCUUGUAUGGCACGGCGGGUCCGAACAAGAAAUCUGGGCCAUCCGUACUGAGACGUAUUUAAGGCCGUGGAUUUGGUAGGAGAUUGUUGACCUGGAAAGACUCCUCAUCAUUUCAGACAUUACCAGUUUAGACCCUGACAGAAGUAAAUGGUUUUUCCCUCUAUUUUGUGCUCAUUUCCCCUGUACUUUUUCUUUAUAUAUUUUGAUGCUUGCGUAUAAGUAAAUAAGAAAUGGAGAAGAGGGAUUGUGAGGAUAUAAUCAAAAGUAAAGACCCACUUGACGUGUGCAGGUCUUUCUCUCUCUUGCAUGUUUAUAGGUCCAUUUCUCUUUCCAAAGAUGAUAGCAUUUUGGCCUCUCUACAAAUGUGGAAGCUCCCAAAUCUACAAAGCAAUCUUCUUAUGGAAAGAACCCAAAUAAAUGCUGACCUCCUCUUUGUUCCUUUCCCCCAUAUUAGCUUGUCUUCUCUCUCUCUCUCUGGUGACGAAAUUAUUCAUCACAGGAUAAAUCUUUCAUGCCUCAUGAUGGUUUUUUGGCCAAGUACAUGCCUAAUUAUUUCUCUCCCAUGUAAUGUUCU